AUGAACGCUGGCGGCGUGCUUAACACAUGCAAGUCGAACGAUUAAAGCUCACUUCGGUGAGUGUAUAGAGUGGCGAACGGGUGAGUAACACGUGGGAAACCUGCCCCUUUCUUCGGGAUAACUUCGGGAAACCGUUGCUAAUACCGGAUACUCCGGGAUGGUCGCAUGGCCGACCCGGGAAAGCUUUAUGUGGAAAGGGAUGGUCCCGCGGCCCCAUUAGCUUGUUGGUGGGGUAAUGGCCUACCAAGGCGAUGAUGGGUAGCCG
This 265-nucleotide ribosomal RNA is filed under the name uncultured bacterium. RNAcentral describes it as "partial 16S ribosomal RNA". It matches the Rfam family "Bacterial small subunit ribosomal RNA", at positions 29 to 289 of the family's 1533-position model. The record is from RNAcentral.